Molecule: ribosomal RNA, 496 nt
Filed under: uncultured bacterium
Lineage: Bacteria
Description: partial 16S ribosomal RNA
Rfam family: Bacterial small subunit ribosomal RNA
Source: RNAcentral
GAUGAACGCUGGCGGCGUGCCUAAUACAUGCAAGUCGAGCGAACGGACGAGAAGCUUGCUUCUCUGAUGUUAGCGGCGGACGGGUGAGUAACACGUGGAUAACCUACCUAUAAGACUGGGAUAACUUCGGGAAACCGUAGCUAAUACCGGAUAAUAUUUUGAACCGCAUGGUUCAAAAGUGAAAGACGGUCUUGCUGUCACUUAUAGAUGGAUCCGCGCUGCAUUAGCUAGUUGGUAAGGUAACGGCUUACCAAGGCAACGAUGCAUAGCCGACCUGAGAGGGUGAUCGGCCACACUGGAACUGAGACACGGUCCAGACUCCUACGGGAGGCAGCAGUGGGGAAUCUUCCGCAAUGGGCGAAAGCCUGACGGAGCAACGCCGCGUGAGUGAUGAAGGUCUUCGGAUCGUAAAACUCUGUUAUUAGGGAAGAACAUAUGUGUAAGUAACUGUGCACAUCUUGACGGUACCUAAUCAGAAAGCCACGGCUAACUACGU